UACGUAGGGGCUAGCGUUAUCCGGAAUUACUGGGCGUAAAGGGUGCGUAGGUGGUUUCUUAAGUCAGAGGUGAAAGGCUACGGCUCAACCGUAGUAAGCUCUUGAAACUGUAAGACUUGAGUGCAGGAGAGGAGAGUGGAAUUCCUAGUGUAGCGGUGAAAUGCGUAGAUAUUAGGAGGAACACCAGUAGCGAAGGCGGCUUUCUGGCCAGUUACUGACGCUCAUGCGCGAAAGCUGGGGUAGCGAACCGGAUUAGAUACCCCCGUAGUCCCUGAGCGGG
RNAcentral lists this ribosomal RNA (280 nucleotides) under uncultured prokaryote. RNAcentral describes it as "partial 16S ribosomal RNA". It matches the Rfam family "Bacterial small subunit ribosomal RNA", at positions 524 to 803 of the family's 1533-position model. The record is from RNAcentral.